RNAcentral lists this ribosomal RNA (245 nucleotides) under uncultured bacterium. RNAcentral describes it as "partial 16S ribosomal RNA". It matches the Rfam family "Bacterial small subunit ribosomal RNA", at positions 524 to 768 of the family's 1533-position model. The record is from RNAcentral.
UACGGAGGAUCCAAGCGUUAUCCGGAUUCAUUGGGUUUAAAGGGUGCGAAGGCGGACUUGUAAGUCAGUGGUGAAAUCCUACAGCUUAACUGUAGAACUGCCAUUGAUACUGCAAGCCUUGAGUAUACUUGAAGUGGCUGGAAUGUAUCAUGUAGCGGUGAAAUGCUUAGAUAUGAUACAGAACACCGAUUGCGAAGGCAGGUCACUAAGUUAUAACUGACGCUCAUGCACGAAAGCGUGGGGAU